Long non-coding RNA from Venturia canescens, 336 nucleotides. RefSeq lists it as uncharacterized. NCBI's taxonomy places the organism in Eukaryota, Metazoa, Arthropoda, Insecta, Hymenoptera, Ichneumonidae. The transcript is spliced from 2 exons. The record is from RefSeq and is a predicted model, not a curated record.
GCUGGCCUGAAAAGUGUAGAGUAAAAUUAGGUAUGAAUAAUCGUUCGAAAUAUUUUCUAUGAAUUGAACAAAUUUUAAUCAGGCAUAUUUGUGGUACUGGCUACUUUCAAACUCCACUCUUCGACCUGAAGGUCUCGUGAUGUCAGCGAAACCGUACAAGUUUUCUUUCGCACGGGCCCAAUGUAUUGAACUAUGUCAAUUGAUUGUCACAGCAACAAAAGAGCGUUUACUAGGAUCACCGCUCAAAACUCACCGCUCUCAUAAUCGCUCAUAGUCUCAAUUUGGAAGUCUUUGUACAGUUGAGGCCUGAAUUUUCUCUCAAGGCCGUAGCUGUAA